Molecule: non-coding RNA, 100 nt
Organism: Lupinus albus (white lupine)
Lineage: Eukaryota; Viridiplantae; Streptophyta; Magnoliopsida; Fabales; Fabaceae
Source: the annotation of a GenBank genome assembly
AGAGGGUAAGGAUAAUGAUUCAAUUAGAUGUGUGAAAGGUUAAUUACUUUCUGAACUCAAACUUUUGAGGCAUAUCCAUUCAUAUAUCUGACUACACUUU